This 409-nucleotide ribosomal RNA is filed under the name bacterium. Its description in RNAcentral is "partial 16S ribosomal RNA". It matches the Rfam family "Bacterial small subunit ribosomal RNA", at positions 355 to 776 of the family's 1533-position model. The record is from RNAcentral.
UGGGGAAUAUUGCACAAUGGGCGAAAGCCUGAUGCAGCAACGCCGCGUGAGGGACGACGGCCUUCGGGUUGUAAACCUCUUUUAGCAGGGAAGAAGCGAAAGUGACUGUACCUGCAGAAAAAGCACCGUCUAACUACGUGCCAGCAGCCGCGGUAAUACGUAGGGUGCAAGCGUUGUCCGGAAUUAUUGGGCGUAAAGAGCUCGUAGGCGGUUUGUCGCGUCUGCUGUGAAAACCCGAGGCUCAACCUCGGGCCUGCAGUGGGUACGGGCAGGAUAGGAGGAGGGAGGGGAGAUUGGAAUUCCUGGUGUAGCGGUGGAAUGCGCAAAAAUCAGGAGGGACACCGAGGGGGAAGGCAGAUCUCUGGGCCGUAACUGACGCUGAGGAGCGAAAGGGUGGGGAGCAAACAGG